RNAcentral lists this long non-coding RNA (287 nucleotides) under Elaeis guineensis (African oil palm). Its description in RNAcentral is "long non-coding RNA (EGUI_LNC028494)". The record is from RNAcentral. Lineage: Eukaryota; Viridiplantae; Streptophyta; Magnoliopsida; Arecales; Arecaceae.
UCUCCCCUCCUCUCCUUCCUCAUCUAUUUUUCUGCUCAUCCUCCUCCUCUUUCAAGUUGCCCAUAAGCCAUUUCCUCUCUCCUCUUUCCUUUCCUUACUUUCAUCUCCUCCUUCUCCUCUAAUUCCAUCAAUGAGGCCUUCGAUGCCAUUCUUCUUCUCUAUGCCAACCCCUACAACCCUACUUUCUCCCUCUAUGAUGGCUCCCUCUAUCUCCAUCUCUUUCUCAUUAGCAACCCCUUCCAUAUGAGCAAGAUGUGUUUCAUUCAUUGAGAGAAAAAGCUAACAUC